CUUUAUUGUUGUCCAUGUAUGUUGAUAUACUUAUUCCAUGAUAAUUCUAUGUUUAUCCUUUUGUGUGAUGUAAAUUAAAUGUUGAAUGGCGGUUCAUGCAGGGAAAGAACAUAUCAAUAUUCGCAUAUUCAUCCAAAAACAUGAAAAUUCUUAAUGGAGUACCCUCAUUUUUUAUUGAAUUCCUAAAAAACAAUAUUUAUAAUGAAUUUUAAUAAUUUUUUCGGAUUUUUUUGAAGCUUUAUUCUGACCGAUUCACCCGAUUCCGAUCCGGACCGCCGAUUCG
RNAcentral lists this long non-coding RNA (283 nucleotides) under Amborella trichopoda. RNAcentral describes it as "long non-coding RNA (ATRI_LNC004342)". The record is from RNAcentral. Lineage: Eukaryota; Viridiplantae; Streptophyta; Magnoliopsida; Amborellales; Amborellaceae.